GGAAUAUUGGGCAAUGGAGGGAACUCUGACCCAGCGACGCCGCGUGCGGGAUGAAGGCCUUCGGGUUGUAAACCGCUUUCAGCAAGGAAGAAGCGAAAGUGACGGUACUUGCAGAAGGAGCACCGGCUAACUAUGUGCCAGCAGCCGCGGUAAUACAUAGGGUGCAAGCGUUGUCCGGAAUUAUUGGGCGUAAAGAGCUCGUAGGUGGUUCGUCACGUCGGAUGUGAAAAUCUGGGGCUUAACCCCAGACCUGCAUUCGAUACGGGCGAGCUAGAGUGUGGUAGGGGAGACUGGAAUUCCUGGUGUAGCGGUGGAAUGCGCAGAUAUCAGGAGGAACACCAAUGGCGAAGGCAGGUCUCUGGGCCAUUACUGACACUGAGGAGCGAAAGCGUGGGGAGCGAACAGGAUUAGAUACCCUGGUAGUCCACGCCGUAAGCGGUGGGCACUAGUUGUGGGAACCUUCCACGGUUUCUGCGACGCAGCUAACGCAUUAAGUGCCCCGCCUGGGGAGUACGAUCGCAAGAUUAAAACUCAAAUGAAUUGACGG
This 547-nucleotide ribosomal RNA is filed under the name uncultured bacterium. RNAcentral describes it as "bacterial SSU rRNA". It matches the Rfam family "Bacterial small subunit ribosomal RNA", at positions 358 to 916 of the family's 1533-position model. The record is from RNAcentral.